Molecule: non-coding RNA, 140 nt
Organism: Gossypium raimondii (Peruvian cotton)
Lineage: Eukaryota; Viridiplantae; Streptophyta; Magnoliopsida; Malvales; Malvaceae
Source: Rfam
UGUUAAAAAUUCCAUCCAUUUUUACUUUUGAAAACUGGUUUAAUUGACAGAAUGACUAGGCAAUUACAUGUGCCAUGUGUACUUCAUGCUGAGGUAUAAGGACCAGUUUUUAACAGUAAAAAUGUAUGAAAUUUUUAACA